AUUGAACGCUGGCGGAAUGCUUUACACAUGCAAGUCGAACGGUAGAGGGGGCAACCCCUCGAGAGUGGCGAACGGGUGAGUAAUAUAUCGGAACGUGCCCAGUCGUGGGGGAUAACGUAGCGAAAGUUACGCUAAUACCGCAUACGAUCUAUGGAUGAAAGCGGGGGACUAAGGCAGCAAUGUUUGGCCUCGCGCCUUUGGAGCGGCCGAUGUCAGAUUUAGGGUAGUUGGUGGGGUAAAGGCCUACCAAGCCGACGAUCUGUAGCUGGUCUGAGAGGACGACCAGCCACACUGGGACUGAGACACGGCCCAGGACUCCUACGGGAGGCAGCAGUGGGGAAUUUUGGACAAUGGCGCAAGCCUGAUCCAGCAAUGCCGCGUGCAGG
Molecule: ribosomal RNA, 386 nt
Filed under: uncultured bacterium
Lineage: Bacteria
Description: bacterial SSU rRNA
Rfam family: Bacterial small subunit ribosomal RNA
Source: RNAcentral